CGCAUCAAUAUCUCUCCUCCUCUCCCGUAUUGGUGCUCGCUCUGGAGCUUAUCUCCCACCACCGAUCGCUGAUCUUCCUGGCCGUGCCGCUCAACGUGUGGAGAAAAAAAAAUCCCACCGCCCCAGCCAGGUCUUCUUCCCCCUGCGCGCUUAUCUUCAGCCGCCGUUCAGUGUUCGUGGGACAGAGAAAAAUCUGGCCGUCGUUCUUCACGCGCAGCUCCCUCGUGCUCCAUUUUCUCUGGCCGCUACUCUGGCCGGCGUUCUCUGCUUGCUUCAGCUCCAGCGCCCAGCCUCAGCUCGCGCCCAAGCUCCUGCGCGUCUCUCAGCCCUGCGCGCGAGCUCAGCAUCUCCCUGCGCACCGCGGCAUCGCCUCUCCCUGACCGCGGUCUCCUCCAGCUCACCGGAGCUCUCUGCCGCGCCUGCUGCUUCCCCGGCCAUGGUAGUCGCCGCUCUAGCCCAUGGCCGAGCUCGCCCUAGCGCCGUCCCCCUGUUUCUUUCUGCCGCGAGCAGCUCCCUGGUGCUCGGACCCAGCUCCGCGCGCUUCCUGCUCCCAUGGCCAGCGGUGCUCUAGCCCCUGCGUCGCGCGUCUGAGUCGCCCUCCAGCGCCGCGCCCGACUCCAGCCAGCCUUGCUCCUCUUUCUCCCUGCCGUGCGCUUGCCAGCUCGGAUUUUGCUAGCCGCUGUUCUCUAACCCAUGUGCUGGUCGGUGUCGUGGAGUUUUUGUUUGAUCAACUCGUCAUCGCGUCGUUUGCCGUCGAGUGUCAAACACGUCAUCCUCUGCUCGAACUCUACCUCACCAGCUCGCUCCCGACGUCAGCUGAAAGCCGUUGUCGUUUCGCGCGUCAGCAAGAAAUCCCAAAAAUCGGGUGAAGACGGAAUUAGCAGGCCGAUAUUCCCAAGCGCUCGACAAAUUGACUGGAUCAGAAAAUCGCUACCGAUCUCGUGGAUUCGUGUCAGCUGUUGAAACGGUACGUUGGUUGACUGUGUGAUGCGGAAGAUGAGCCAAGUCGACCCCAAGCGCGGGCUAAUCCGCAGGAUGAUGCUGAUGGACAAACCUGAAAAUGGUUAAAUCAAGCGAAUGUUCGGUCGAGGGAUACUCGUCAAGCGGACGUCAUCUAACAAACACUAACCUAGUGUUUAUUCCAGGUAUCUUCGGAUUUAUGAUAAAAGCAUACACGAUGAGGAGCUUGAUCGUGACGAAGGUUGCCAUCGCUCCGAAGCUGUGAGGAAGGAAGCUUCGGCUAAAUCGCAGAAAAGGGAACCGACUUAAAAGAGAAAAGGAUGUUCAGUCCUCAUAGAUUUUUCUAUAAGCCAAUAGUAAAUGUAAAGGGCAUAAUUGUAAUUUCUCAUAGGCUGUGUCCUGUGCCUAUAAAUAGAUGAACAGUACCCCCAUACUGUUCACGCUGACUUGUACUCAUUUUUGCGUCACGCUUGUACUUUCAUUUUCUGUCAAGCCGAAG
RNAcentral lists this unclassified non-coding RNA (1459 nucleotides) under Zea mays. RNAcentral's name for it is "misc RNA Zm00001eb229560". The record is from RNAcentral. Lineage: Eukaryota; Viridiplantae; Streptophyta; Magnoliopsida; Poales; Poaceae.